GCCGCGGUAAUACGGGGGGGGCAAGCGUUGUUCGGAUUUACUGGGCGUAAAGAGCUCGUAGGCGGCUUGCUUAGUCGAACGUGAAAUCCCUUGGCUCAACUGAGGAACUGCGUCCGAUACUGGCAGGCUUGAAUCCGGGAGAGGGAUGCGGAAUUCCAGGUGUAGCGGUGAAAUGCGUAGAUAUCUGGAGGAACACCGGCGGCGAAGGCGGCAUCCUGGACCGGUAUUGACGCUGAGGAGCGAAAGCCAGGGUAGCAAACGGGAUUAGAUACCCCGGUAGUCCUGGCCCUAAACGAUGAAUGCUUGGUGUGGCGGGUAUCGAUCCCUGCUGUGCCGAAGCUAACGCAUUAAGCAUUCCGCCUGGGGAGUACGGUCGCAAGGCUGAAACUCAAAGGAAUUGGCGGGGGAGCACGGUCAUACUGUUUCCUG
RNAcentral lists this ribosomal RNA (429 nucleotides) under Acidobacterium sp. SCGC AAA007-P13. RNAcentral's name for it is "SSU rRNA". It matches the Rfam family "Bacterial small subunit ribosomal RNA", at positions 514 to 1383 of the family's 1533-position model. The record is from RNAcentral. Lineage: Bacteria; Pseudomonadati; Acidobacteriota; Terriglobia; Terriglobales; Acidobacteriaceae.